RNAcentral lists this long non-coding RNA (794 nucleotides) under Homo sapiens (human). RNAcentral's name for it is "HSALNT0313112". Lineage: Eukaryota; Metazoa; Chordata; Mammalia; Primates; Hominidae. The record is from RNAcentral.
CCUGGAAUUGAAGGCUUCCUGGUCUGAGGCAAGGACAAUUAUUCCCUCACUGUCAACCCUGAUCUCUGGCUGCAGUAAUGAGUAGAGGAAAUGAAGAAAUAAGAAUGGAAGCAUAAUCAUUUGUCCGAGGUCACAGAGGGAGAUGAUUACACAGCUGGAAUAAACUCUCCUCCUUCAAUACCUGACUACUUGCACCAUCCAGCAGAUAUCCUCUACUACCAAGUCUCAACAGAUGGUUCAGCUGGUCUUUAAUGAACAAAAGGCAUUUGUGUAAUGGACUCUUAUUGCUCAAGAAGAAUUUCUUCCUUCCUGAAACAUGAGGAGAAACUGACAAAAACUGUCUCCUUGACCAAACCCUAGUCAGUUGCCUAUAAGCCCUGUAGGCUGUGACCUUAGUGUCUAUCCUUAUCAGACACGCAUUACACAACCAUAGCAACAGUCUUGCUAAGUUGGUUUAACCAGAACCCCUACCCUUGAUAUCUGAUUUAAUUUAUAAUUCCCCUGAGUCCCCGAGGUGACAUCCAUUCAUCCUGGCCAGCUUUCAAUAAGAAUCCUAUUGGAUUAUUUAGCUAGAAAUCACCCCUUACACUUAAUGCUUCCUUUUAGUAAUUUUGCAUCCACUAACCCCGACCUUGCUCGUUGGCUAUAAAUCCACAAGUUGUCCGUGUUGUGUUUGGAAUUGAUUACAAUUCUAUAUUGAGGUCUCUUUUCCCAUAUUGCAAUAGUUCCUGAUUAAAAUCUGCUUUUGCCCAUUGAUAUGGUUUGGUUGUGUACCCACUCAAAUCUCAUCUUGA